GGAAACUGGGUCUAAUACCGGAUAGGAGCGUCCACCGCAUGGUGGGUGUUGGAAAGAUUUAUCGGUUUUGGAUGGACUCGCGGCCUAUCAGCUUGUUGGUGAGGUAAUGGCUCACCAAGGCGACGACGGGUAGCCGGCCUGAGAGGGUGACCGGCCACACUGGGACUGAGACACGGCCCAGACUCCUACGGGAGGCAGCAGUGGGGAAUAUUGCACAAUGGGCGCAAGCCUGAUGCAGCGACGCCGCGUGAGGGAUGACGGCCUUCGGGUUGUAAACCUCUUUCAGUAGGGAAGAAGCGAAAGUGACGGUACCUGCAGAAGAAGCACCGGCUAACUACGUGCCAGCAGCCGCGGUAAUACGUAGGGUGCGAGCGUUAUCCGGAAUUAUUGGGCGUAAAGAGCUCGUAGGCGGUUUGUCGCGUCUGUCGUGAAAGUCCGGGGCUUAACCCCGGAUCUGCGGUGGGUACGGGCAGACUAGAGUGCAGUAGGGGAGACUGGAAUUCCUGGUGUAGCGGUGGAAUGCGCAGAUAUCAGGAGGAACACCGAUGGCGAAGGCAGGUCUCUGGGCUGUAACUGACGCUGAGGAGCGAAAGCAUGGGGAGCGAACAGGAUUAGAUACCCUGGUAGUCCAUGCCGUAAACGUUGGGCACUAGGUGUGGGAACCAUUCCACGGUUUCCGCGCCGCAGCUAACGCAUUAAGUGCCCCGCCUGGGGAGUACGGCCGCAAGGCUAAAACUCAAAGGAAUUGACGGGGGCCCGCACAAGCGGCGGAGCAUGCGGAUUAAUUCGAUGCAACGCGAAGAACCUUACCAAGGCUUGACAUGUUCUCGAUCGCCGUAGAGAUACGGUUUCCCCUUUGGGGCGGGUUCACAGGUGGUGCAUGGUUGUCGUCAGCUCGUGUCGUGAGAUGUUGGGUUAAGUCCCGCAACGAGCGCAACCCUCGUUCCAUGUUGCCAGCACGUCGUGGUGGGGACUCAUGGGAGACUGCCGGGGUCAACUCGGAGGAAGGUGAGGACGACGUCAAAUCAUCAUGCCCCUUAUGUCUUGGGCUUCACGCAUGCUACAAUGGCCGGUACAAUGGGUUGCGAUACUGUGAGGUGGAGCUAAUCCCAAAAAGCCGGUCUCAGUUCGGAUUGGGGUCUGCAACUCGACCCCAUGAAGUCGGAGUCGCUAGUAAUCGCAGAUCAGCAACGCUGCGGUGAAUACGUUCCCGG
This 1214-nucleotide ribosomal RNA is filed under the name Micrococcus sp. Its description in RNAcentral is "bacterial SSU rRNA". It matches the Rfam family "Bacterial small subunit ribosomal RNA", at positions 152 to 1377 of the family's 1533-position model. Lineage: Bacteria; Bacillati; Actinomycetota; Actinomycetes; Micrococcales; Micrococcaceae. The record is from RNAcentral.